This 402-nucleotide ribosomal RNA is filed under the name uncultured bacterium. RNAcentral describes it as "bacterial SSU rRNA". It matches the Rfam family "Bacterial small subunit ribosomal RNA", at positions 355 to 774 of the family's 1533-position model. The record is from RNAcentral.
UGGGGAAUAUUGGACAAUGGGGGAAACCCUGAUCCAGCAAUGCCGCGUGAGUGAAGAAGGCCUUAGGGUUGUAAAGCUCUUUCGCCCGCGAAGAUAAUGACGGUAGCGGGAGAAGAAGCCCCGGCUAACUCCGUGCCAGCAGCCGCGGUAAUACGGAGGGGGCUAGCGUUGUUCGGAAUUACUGGGCGUAAAGCGUACGUAGGCGGAUGCGCAAGUUGGGGGUGAAAUCCCGGGGCUUAACCUCGGAAUUGCCCUCAAAACUGCACGUCUUGAGACCGAGAGAGGUAAGGGGGAUUCCUAGUGUAGAGGUGAAAUUCGUAGAUAUUAGGAAGAACACCAGUGGCGAAGGCGCCUUACUGGCUCGGUACUGACGCUGAGGUACGAAAGCGUGGGGAGCAAACA